RNAcentral lists this ribosomal RNA (510 nucleotides) under uncultured bacterium. RNAcentral describes it as "bacterial SSU rRNA". It matches the Rfam family "Bacterial small subunit ribosomal RNA", at positions 17 to 518 of the family's 1533-position model. The record is from RNAcentral.
UCCUGGCUCAGGAUGAACGCUAGCUACAGGCUUAACACAUGCAAGUCGAGGGGCAGCAUGAUCGAAGCUUGCUUGAUGAUGGCGACCGGCGCACGGGUGAGUAACGCGUAUCCAACCUCCCUAUAGUAGAGGAUAGCCCGGCGAAAGUCGGAUUAAUACUCUAUGUUUUCCAAUGCAGACAUCUAAAAUGGAACAAAGGUUUACCGCUAUAGGAUGGGGAUGCGUCUGAUUAGAUAGUAGGCGGGGUAACGGCCCACCUAGUCGACGAUCAGUAGGGGUUCUGAGAGGAAGGUCCCCCACAUUGGAACUGAGACACGGUCCAAACUCCUACGGGAGGCAGCAGUGAGGAAUAUUGGUCAAUGGGCGAGAGCCUGAACCAGCCAAGUAGCGUGCAAGGAUGACGGCCCUAUGGGUUGUAAACUGCUUUUAUAUAGGGAUAAAGUGAUCCACGUGUGGGUUUUUGUAGGUACUAUAUGAAUAAGGACCGGCUAAUUCCGUGCCAGCAGCAGC